GAUCCUGGCUCAGGAUGAACGCUAGCGACAGGCCUAACACAUGCAAGUCGAGGGGCAGCGGAGAGGUAGCAAUACCUUUGCCGGCGACCGGCGCACGGGUGAGUAACACGUAUGCAAUCCACCUGUAACAGGGGGAUAACCCGGAGAAAUCCGGACUAAUACCCCAUAAUAUGGGCGUUCCGCAUGGAGAGCUCAUUAAAGAGAGCAAUUUUGGUUACAGACGAGCAUGCGCUCCGAUUA
This 240-nucleotide ribosomal RNA is filed under the name uncultured bacterium. RNAcentral describes it as "partial 16S ribosomal RNA". It matches the Rfam family "Bacterial small subunit ribosomal RNA", at positions 15 to 243 of the family's 1533-position model. The record is from RNAcentral.